UACGUAGGGUGCAAGCGUUGUCCGGAAUUAUUGGGCGUAAAGGGCUCGUAGGCGGUCCAUCGCGUCGGGAGUGAAAAGCUGGGGCUCAACCCCAGUCCUGCUUCCGAUACGGGUGGACUAGAGGUAUGCAGGGGAGAACGGAAUUCCUGGUGUAGCGGUGAAAUGCGCAGAUAUCAGGAGGAACACCGGUGGCGAAGGCGGCCUGCUGGGACGUGGCUGACGCUGAGGCGCGACAGCGUGGGGAGCAAACAGG
Molecule: ribosomal RNA, 253 nt
Filed under: uncultured bacterium
Lineage: Bacteria
Description: partial 16S ribosomal RNA
Rfam family: Bacterial small subunit ribosomal RNA
Source: RNAcentral